AUGAGUGACUCCAAGGAACCAAGGGUGCAGCAGCUGGGCCUCCUGGGUAAGGCUGGGUUGGAACUCUGGGAUCCUGGGUAAGGGGAAGGGAUGGCCCAGGCUCUGAGCUGAUGUCUGUCAAUUCAGAAGAAGAUCCAACAACCAGUGGCAUCAGACUUUUUCCAAGAGACUUUCAAUUCCAGCAGAUACAUGGCCACAAGAGCUCUACAGGGUGUCUUGGCCAUGGUCCCCUGGUGCUGCAACUCCUCUCCUUCACGCUCUUGGCUGGGGUCCUGGUGGCCAUCCUUGUCCAAGUGUCCAAGGUCCCCAGCUCCCUAAGUCAGGAACAAUCCGAGCAAGACACAAUCUACCAGAACCUGACCCAGCUUAAAGCUGCAGUGGGUGAGCUCUCAGAGAAAUCCAAGCUGCAGGAGAUCUACCAGGAGCUGACCCAGCUGAAGGCUGCAGUGGGUGAGUUGCCAGAGAAAUCCAAGCUGCAGGAGAUCUACCAGGAGCUGACCCAGCUGAAGGCUGCAGUGGGUGAGUUGCCAGAGAAAUCCAAGCUGCAGGAGAUCUACCAGGAGCUGACCCAGCUGAAGGCUGCAGUGGGUGAGUUGCCAGAGAAAUCCAAGCUGCAGGAGAUCUACCAGGAGCUGACCCAGCUGAAGGCUGCAGUGGGUGAGUUGCCAGAGAAAUCCAAGCUGCAGGAGAUCUACCAGGAGCUGACCCAGCUGAAGGCUGCAGUGGGUGAGUUGCCAGAGAAAUCCAAGCUGCAGGAGACCUACCAGGAGCUGACCCAGCUGAAGGCUGCAGUGGGUAAAUUGCCAGACCAGUCCAAGCAGCAGCAAAUCUAUCAAGAACUGACCGAUUUGAAGACUGCAUUUGGUGAGUUCCUGCACAUCGAGGGUCCUUGGGCCUGAGAUGGUCUCUGUGUGAUGUGACUUUACUUGAGUUACCAACCCUGCCUGAGCCUCAGUUUCCUCCCCUGUGAAAUGAGAACACAGGGUAACUGCGAUCAUUGCACUUGGUGUUCACACUGGGCCAGGCACACAGUAGACACUCAGUUCAACCAAUCCGCUGCCUUCUGUUCUGAGCUCUAAAGCUGCUAAUUCUCCCAGUCUGGAAGAGAUGGAGCCAGGACUCCUGGGUUCUCCUGGGGAUCAGGGAGAGUCUUGGGAAGUAGGGAGAGGAAUGGUCUCUCCUCAUUCCAAGAGGUCCACCCAACAUGGACAGUCAAGGAAGGGCCCUGAUUUUCAAGGGCUUGAAGGCUGGGCAGAUAUGGGAAUAUGGACAACCUGAUCUGAGCCCAGCCCUGACCAGCCUCCCCCAACAGAACGCCUGUGCCGCCACUGUCCCAAGGACUGGACAUUCUUCCAAGGAAACUGUUACUUCAUGUCUAACUCCCAGCGGAACUGGCACAACUCCGUAACCGCCUGCCGGGAAGUGAGGGCCCAGCUCGUCGUAAUCAAAAGUGCUGAGGAGCAGCUUCCAGCGAUACUGGAACAGUGGAGAACCCAACAAUAGUGGGAAUGAAGACUGUGCGGAAUUUAGUGGCAGUGGCUGGAACGACAAUCGAUGUGACAUUGACAAUUACUGGAUCUGCAAAAAGCCCGCAGUCUGCUUCAGAGACGAAUAG
This 1615-nucleotide small RNA is filed under the name Pan troglodytes (chimpanzee). RNAcentral's name for it is "retained intron". Lineage: Eukaryota; Metazoa; Chordata; Mammalia; Primates; Hominidae. The record is from RNAcentral.